Molecule: ribosomal RNA, 292 nt
Filed under: uncultured bacterium
Lineage: Bacteria
Description: partial 16S ribosomal RNA
Rfam family: Bacterial small subunit ribosomal RNA
Source: RNAcentral
GUGCCAGCCGCCGCGGUAAUACGUAGGGUGCGAGCGUUAAUCGGAAUUACUGGGCGUAAAGGGUGCGUAGGCGGGUCUUUAAGUCAGGGGUGAAAUCCUCCGGCUCAACCGGAGAACGGCCUCGGAUACUGGCGGUCUCGAGGGAGGUAGGGGCGUGCGGAACUAAGGGUGGAGCGGUGAAAUGCGUUGAUAUCCUUAGGAACUCCGGUGGCGAAGGCGGCACGCUGGACCUCUUCUGACGCUGAGGCGCGAAAGCCAGGGGAGCAAACGGGAUUAGAUACCCCCGUAGUCC